CUACUUCGGCAGCAUAUAUACUAAAAUGGGAACCAUAAAGGGAUUAGCACGGCCCCUGCAAAAGAUAACAUUAGAAAAGCCAAAGGAGUGGCUUACAGUA
This 100-nucleotide small nuclear RNA is filed under the name Fukomys damarensis (Damara mole-rat). The record is from RNAcentral. Lineage: Eukaryota; Metazoa; Chordata; Mammalia; Rodentia; Bathyergidae.